AUUGAACGCUGGCGGCAUGCUUUACACAUGCCAGUCGAACGGUAACAGGCCGCCAGGUGCUGACGAGUGGCGAACGGGUGAGUAAUGCAUCGGAACGUGCCCAGUCGUGGGGGAUAACUACUCGAAAGAGUAGCUAAUACCGCAUACGAUCUAUGGAUGAAAGCGGGGGACCGUAAGGCCUCGCGCGAUUGGAGCGGCCGAUGUCAGAUUAGGUAGUUGGUGGGGUAAAGGCUCACCAAGCCAACGAUCUGUAGCUGGUCUGAGAGGACGACCAGCCACACUGGGACUGAGACACGGCCCAGACUCCUACGGGAGGCAGCAGUGGGGAAUUUUGGACAAUGGGCGCAAGCCUGAUCCAGCAAUGCCGCGUGCAGGAAGAAGGCCUUCGGGUUGUAAACUGCUUUUGUACGGAACGAAACGGCUCUGGUUAAUACCCGGGGCUAAUGACGGUACCGUAAGAAUAAGCACCGGCUAACUACGUG
RNAcentral lists this ribosomal RNA (482 nucleotides) under uncultured bacterium. Its description in RNAcentral is "partial 16S ribosomal RNA". It matches the Rfam family "Bacterial small subunit ribosomal RNA", at positions 30 to 507 of the family's 1533-position model. The record is from RNAcentral.